Molecule: non-coding RNA, 32 nt
Filed under: Geobacter sulfurreducens KN400
Lineage: Bacteria; Pseudomonadati; Thermodesulfobacteriota; Desulfuromonadia; Geobacterales; Geobacteraceae
Source: RNAcentral
CUCGGACGCAAGCCUUACUCGGUGGAUUCCUU